UUUUAUGGAGAGUUUGAUCCUGGCUCAGGAUGAACGCUGGCGGCGUGCCUAAUACAUGCAAGUCGAGCGAACGGACGAGAAGCUUGCUUCUCUGAUGUUAGCGGCGGACGGGUGAGUAACACGUGGAUAACCUACCUAUAAGACUGGGAUAACUUCGGGAAACCGGAGCUAAUACCGGAUAAUAUUUUGAACCGCAUGGUUCAAAAGUGAAAGACGGUCUUGCUGUCACUUAUAGAUGGAUCCGCGCUGCAUUAGCUAGUUGGUAAGGUAACGGCUUACCAAGGCAACGAUGCAUAGCCGACCUGAGAGGGUGAUCGGCCACACUGGAACUGAGACACGGUCCAGACUCCUACGGGAGGCAGCAGUAGGGAAUCUUCCGCAAUGGGCGAAAGCCUGACGGAGCAACGCCGCGUGAGUGAUGAAGGUCUUCGGAUCGUAAAACUCUGUUAUUAGGGAAGAACAUAUGUGUAAGUAACUGUGCACAUCUUGACGGUACCUAAUCAGAAAGCCACGGCUAACUACGUGCCAGCAGCCGCGGUAAUACGUAGGUGGCAAGCGUUAUCCGGAAUUAUUGGGCGUAAAGCGCGCGUAGGCGGUUUUUUAAGUCUGAUGUGAAAGCCCACGGCUCAACCGUGGAGGGUCAUUGGAAACUGGAAAACUUGAGKGCAGAAGAGGAAAGUGGAAUUCCAUGUGUAGCGGUGAAAUGCGCAGAGAUAUGGAGGAACACCAGUGGCGAAGGCGACUUUCUGGUCUGUAACUGACGCUGAUGUGCGAAAGCGKGGGGAUCAAACAGGAUUAGAUACCCUGGUAGUCCACGCCGUAAACGAUGAGUGCUAAGUGUUAGGGGGUUUCCGCCCCUUAGUGCUGCAGCUAACGCAUUAAGCACUCCGCCUGGGGAGUACGACCGCAAGGUUGAAACUCAAAGGAAUUGACGGGGACCCGCACAAGCGGUGGAGCAUGUGGUUUAAUUCGAAGCAACGCGAAGAACCUUACCAAAUCUUGACAUCCUUUGACAACUCUAGAGAUAGAGCCUUCCCCUUCGGGGGACAAAGUGACAGGUGGUGCAUGGUUGUCGUCAGCUCGUGUCGUGAGAUGUUGGGUUAAGUCCCGCAACGAGCGCAACCCUUAAGCUUAGUUGCCAUCAUUAAGUUGGGCACUCUAAGUUGACUGCCGGUGACAAACCGGAGGAAGGUGGGGAUGACGUCAAAUCAUCAUGCCCCUUAUGAUUUGGGCUACACACGUGCUACAAUGGACAAUACAAAGGGCAGCGAAACCGCGAGGUCAAGCAAAUCCCAUAAAGUUGUUCUCAGUUCGGAUUGUAGUCUGCAACUCGACUACAUGAAGCUGGAAUCGCUAGUAAUCGUAGAUCAGCAUGCUACGGUGAAUACGUUCCCGGGUCUUGUACACACCGCCCGUCACACCACGAGAGUUUGUAACACCCGAAGCCGGUGGAGUAACCUUUUAGGAGCUAGCCGUCGAAGGUGGGACAAAUGAUUGGGGUGAAGUCGUAACAAGGUAGCCGUAUCGGAAGGUGCGGCUGGAUCACCUCCUUUCUAA
This 1557-nucleotide ribosomal RNA is filed under the name Staphylococcus aureus. RNAcentral describes it as "16S ribosomal RNA". It matches the Rfam family "Bacterial small subunit ribosomal RNA". Lineage: Bacteria; Bacillati; Bacillota; Bacilli; Caryophanales; Staphylococcaceae. The record is from RNAcentral.